This 402-nucleotide long non-coding RNA is filed under the name Coturnix japonica (Japanese quail). RNAcentral's name for it is "lncRNA (ENSCJPG00005006398.1)". The record is from RNAcentral. Lineage: Eukaryota; Metazoa; Chordata; Aves; Galliformes; Phasianidae.
AAAUGAAAGGAGAAAGAGAUAUGGAAGGGGAUAGGGGAGGAAAUAGGGGGGGUAAGGGGGGGAUAAAGGAGGAAAUAGGGGGUAAAAGGGGGGAUAAAGGGGAAUAAAGGAGGAAAUAGGGGGGUAAGGGUGUUUAUAGGGGGGUAAAGGGAGGGAAUAAGGGAUAAAGGGGGGAAUAAGAGGAUAAAAAGGGGGAGAUAGCGGGGUUUAGGAGGAAAUAGGGGGAUUAAAGGGAUGGGCAAUAAGGGAUUAAAAAAGGGGGGAAUUAGGGGCUAAAAAGGAGGAAAUAAGGGGAUAACAGGAGUGGAAAUAGGGGGGUAAAGGAGGAAAUAAGGGGCUAAAAAGCGGGGAUUUAGCUAGAGGGCAAAUAAGGGGCUUAAAAACGGAGAAAAUAGGGCAAAU